AAUGAACGUUGGCGGCGUGGAUUAGGCAUGCAAGUCGCGCGACAAGGAACCUUCGGGUUCUGGAGGAGCGGCAAACGGGGUAGUAAGGCAUCGGAACGUACCCUCUUGUUGGGAAUAGCCGCGGGAAACUGCGAGUAAUGCCCAAUAAUCCCUACGGGGCAAAGGUCCGCCGCAGGAGGAGCGGCCGAUGUGAUACCAGCUAGUUGGUGAGGUAAUGGCUCACCAAGGCUUAGACGUCUAGGGGGUGUGAGAGCAUGGCCCCCACCACUGGGACUGAGAUACUGCCCAGACACCUACGGGUGGCUGCAGUCGAGAAUCUUCGGCAAUGGGCGCAAGCCUGACCGAGCAACGCCGCGUGCGGGAUGAAGGCCCUUGGGUUG
This 380-nucleotide ribosomal RNA is filed under the name uncultured bacterium. RNAcentral's name for it is "bacterial SSU rRNA". It matches the Rfam family "Bacterial small subunit ribosomal RNA", at positions 29 to 425 of the family's 1533-position model. The record is from RNAcentral.